Strigops habroptila (Kakapo) is the source of this 2268-nucleotide long non-coding RNA. Lineage: Eukaryota; Metazoa; Chordata; Aves; Psittaciformes; Psittacidae. The record is from Ensembl.
ACAUUGUACAAAAUUCUCUUUUUUUAUAUAUAUAUAUGUAUAUAUGUACACACACAAAACCCCAUACCGAACAGGUUUACCAUACUGAAUUUUAAAAAGUUGCUCGUGGAAGGGUGUUGGAUUUUUUUUUCUCUGCUUGCUUUAGGCAGUGCUGUUGCUUAGAAGUUGACACCAGGCACCAUAUUUCUGAAAGCAAACCAAGACAGCCAGGAGCAGUAAAGGGCUUAGAGCUUUUUUACCCAGGCAUUGACUGUGAUGUGCUGGCAACUGAGGGUCAGUGAUGGAGAGAACUGAUGUUCUCCCACCCAUCUCUGCUUAGAGUUAGGGAUAUUUGACUUUGUAUUGCUUUCUCUUCCCUAGAAAACACUCUACUGUCAGCUUCCAUCUGGGCCAGAAGAAAAUUAGCCUUUAUUGAAAGGGAUUUCAGCCCAUGCACGAGGCUGGCGGCUGCCUGGUUUUUUCCUAGAGCAGAGUAUCACUAUGGCUGGGAAAAAAAGGACAAUCCCCUUACUGCUCCUGCUGGGAAGGGAAAAUCCAGAUGGAAAACAAGGUGGGAGCCAGACACAUGAAAGGCAAGUAAACGUGUCUCCGGUUAUGCGCAUCGGCUGAAACAUAAACAAGACUCAUUUUGUUUUAAAUCCAGAGGUUUUGUGCAACAUCUGUUAAAAUAACUCUUUUGUUUUUUUAAAGAAAUCACACAGCAUAACAGACGUUUGGAAGUGCAUUUUGAAGCAGAGAAAAUCCAAUUAAACACCUUCCUGCAACAGAACACUUCAAUCGGUGAGAAACCAAAGGGAAGUCAAACCUAACCAGUUUACAACAUUUGCCAGGAUUUGGGUUGGUUUUUGGUUUUCAUCCCCAUCCUCUCCCACCCCGGUAUUACAAAACAUUGCUGUUGGUUUUAUUAAUAAACGGGCUCCUCUGCAGUUCAUAUACAAUCAUAGGUGGAUUUUAAAUUCCAUUUUAUACAAACAUCUCAAAAAAUACUGGGAGUGAAGUAUGGUAGGAAAUACUGCUUGCAUUGCUACUUAACAUGUGGGUGGGAAGAGGAGGAGAAGGGUUGGUUAGUGCACACCUCUGGAGCAGAGUACCCUCACCUCCAAAAACGAUACAGCAGCUGAUUACAGAAAGGUAAUGUCCACAAAAUUUAAGUUUUUCAUGCUAUUCUACUUUCCAGUACUAUACUCUCCAAUCGCUUCCGCAAUUUAAUGGCUGGGUGGUGGAUGCUGAGGUAUAUUGCAAACGAGAUACCUGCACCUAGAGGAAAAUGCAUCUUUAGAAAGGGCUUUUUUUCUGCGUGUGGUGCUGCACAAAGCAAUUGCCGUGCAGGAAUUUCACCCAGCUUCCAAUUUGGAGUAGACAAAAGGUGACGCCUCCGGUUUUUUUAGGCACUUCUUUUCUUACAAGGGAGUUGUUUGGUUGAACCGAUUUGUUUAUGUUCUGUCCCACACCACCCCUUCCCCAGCCCCCAACAAGAGUCAGGGCAUAGUUUCUACUCUAAGUCCAAUUGAUAUUUAUUUCCCCCCUAUGGGUAACUUCCUAUGUAUAAAACGACAAAGGAAAUAAUUAAAGAGUAGAGGAAGAGCCUGACUCUGCAGUUUCGCAAGACUGAAGAUGGCUCCUUAGUAUUUAAAACUAAUUUCACAAUUUAAAUUUGACUUUUUCUUUUUUCCGGUAUACGAAUGAGACAUAAAUAUAGGCUCUCAAUCUGCUUAAAAAUUUCAUUCACGUAAUGGAAAAUUUCUUUUCAUUUAUUAAAAAUAUCACAUUUUGAGACUAGAAACAGUAAAAUGCAUGAAAAGUUUAAAAUAGAAAUUCAAGAAAAUCUUAUAGCAGCAAAAAAGCAGAAUAAAGAAAAACUUAAAAACACAGACACAACCUUUUCCUAUCACUGUGCCAUUGAUUGUUGGGGUUUUUUUUUAACAUUAAGCAGCCAAACAAUUUUAUUUUUCAGAAAAUUGCAUUACGUUCAAUGCCUCUUGAGGCACAAGGGUUUGAACUGGCCACCUAGAGCAGAAAAAGGGAGAAAAAAAGGGAUUUCCAACACAUCCAAAGAGCAUCAACAUUUGGGAAUGAACCAGCAGCUUUCUAAUUCAACCCUGACUGACAACAAAAGAGAAAGGUUAUUAAAAAAAGUGGGAUGGAUAUUUGGCAACUAGGGUCAGGAAAAACAAUCCAAGGAAUGACUAUGGCUCCCACUCGCUCCCCCGAGAAAAAAACCAUGCCAAUGGCUACUCCAUGUGCCCUUUGGAGACGGAAGGUUGUUUC